AAGAGAUCGGGAUAACACCUGGAAACAGAUGCUAAUACCGGAUAACAACAGAUGAUGCCUAUCAACUGUUUAAAAGAUGGUUCUGCUAUCACUCUUGGAUGGACCUGCGGUGCAUUAGCUAGUUGAUAGGGUAACGGCCUACCAAGGCGAUGAUGCAUAGCCGAGUUGAGAGACUGAUCGGCCACAUUGGGGCUGAGACACGGCCCAAACUCCUACGGGAGGCAGCAGCC
RNAcentral lists this ribosomal RNA (230 nucleotides) under uncultured Lactobacillus sp. Its description in RNAcentral is "partial 16S ribosomal RNA". It matches the Rfam family "Bacterial small subunit ribosomal RNA", at positions 132 to 355 of the family's 1533-position model. The record is from RNAcentral. Lineage: Bacteria; Bacillati; Bacillota; Bacilli; Lactobacillales; Lactobacillaceae.